RNAcentral lists this unclassified non-coding RNA (217 nucleotides) under uncultured fungus. RNAcentral's name for it is "sequence contains ITS1". Lineage: Eukaryota; Fungi. The record is from RNAcentral.
UUAAUUAUUUGCUUGUGCCACUCAGAAGAAACGUCGUUGCAAUAGAGUUUGGGUAUCCUCCGGCGGGCGCCACGCCCGGUGUGGGGCGCGGCCGGGAGGCGGACCGCCCCCGGGGGGGUUGUCCUCCUGCCCGCCGAAGCAACAGUUAAGGUAUGUUCGCAAAGGGUUGAAGAGCGGUAACUCGAUAAUGAUCCCUCCGCUGGUUCACCAACGGAGA